RNA transcript from Pararge aegeria (speckled wood butterfly), 4955 nucleotides. It is a transcript of the gene named THO complex subunit 2, with no coding region annotated. The transcript has 27 exons. The record is from RefSeq and is a predicted model, not a curated record. NCBI's taxonomy places the organism in Eukaryota, Metazoa, Arthropoda, Insecta, Lepidoptera, Nymphalidae.
UUAUUUUCGGAAAUGGCUGCGGCGUAUGUUGUUCGUAUGAUAUUGUUGUGAAAAUAAAUAUAAGACCCAUUUAUCAACAUGGGUACGUUUACAAAAUUCGUAUCGGACUAUUGUAAAGCCUGGGAAAAAUUGGGACGAGAACAAUUCUUAAAAUCAGUGACACAGUUUAUUAAAGAUGAAGCAAAGAGUCCUUUAUUUUCCAAAUCUGAUAAACUAUCAGGGUUAUCUCAAAACAUCUAUGAUUUGCUACUAUGUGGCCUACGAGGACUCCUAAAAAAAGAUUCAGUUAUAUCUGUUCUAAGAGACAUGAUUGUUUUACAUGCAGACAUACCAUCUAUACUACUGGAUGUUGUGUGUGUGUUAGAUGCAGAAACAUCUCUAGAAGUACAAAGUGAAGAACGCAGUAAUUUUUGUUAUUUAGUGAGAGAACUAGAAUCAUUUAUAUCUGACAAAUUAUUAAAGGAACGUUUAGAGAUUGACACACUACAAGAUGUAGGCACGUUAAAAAAUAAAAAUUUCUAUACAAAGUUUAUUAAAAUCAAAACUAAGUUAUAUUACAAACAACGUAAAUUUAAUUUAUUUAGGGAAGAAAGUGAAGGAUAUUCUAAGCUGAUAGUAGAGUUGAAUCAAGAAAUAUCCGAAAAUACAGAAUGGAAGACUCUUUUAGAAAUUAUUCAGUCUCUGAUAGGGUGCUUCAAUUUGGACCCAAAUAGAGUCUUAGACAUAAUAUUGGAGUCAUUUGAGGCUCGCCCACAUUUAGACAAAUUGUUUAUUUCACUAAUAAAUAAUUACAUGGCCGAUCCACAAGUGAUAAGUGAAGUUUUAGGUUUUAAACUUGGUAACAUGGAAGUUUUAGAAAGUUAUAAGGAGCCACCUGCUUUGAUGACUGUUAUAGCUUUACUUCUACAGCAUCAAGUUAUAUUCCUCGAUGAUAUCUAUCCUUGGUUGCGUCCAGAUGACACAAUCAUGGCUAGAGAAGCUGAAAAAGAACACAAGGCUGUUCAAGAUUUCAUACGUAAGAUUAAUAUUGUAUCCACUAAAGGACCGCAAAGUAAUGCACCUGCAGAAUUCAUUGAGGAGAAAGCUGAUCCUCAGGAGUAUUGGAGUAAUCAAAAACUGGUGCUUUGUGAAGCACUUCUUAAAGUGACAGCAUGGAAGGAAUUUGCUGCACUGUCUGCUCGCCUGCCAACUACAAGUGUUGCACCAAGACCAGCAAUGGCUCUUUGCACAAUGUUGCAUGCAUUAGUGGAACCACUUUAUAGAAAGCAUUGUCGUAUUGCUCCUAAAAUAAUAGGAAAGCCAGUCCCUCCACUAAAAUCGCCUUUGGCACCUAAAGCUUGUAAGACAUUUGAAAGCAUGAAAGAAACUGUUAUACCAGCAAUUGUACUCCUUGGACCAUCUCUUCACCAUGACGCAAUAUUAAUGUAUAAGAUAAUUCGUAUUCUAAGAACAGCGCGAUCAUUAGAUGGUGACCCUCUUUAUCAUGAAGCGUUAACUGUUUUAGACACCGCUAUACUGCCUGCACUUACUUUAAUGGAGGGCAACUGUUGCAUGGCCGAGGAAGUUUACACAUUGCUUAAGUUAUAUCCUUAUCAAUGCAGAUAUUGCAUCUAUGCUCGCUGGAAAAACGAAUCCGGCGAACGGAUACCAUCGCUGAUGCGUGUAAGAGGAAACUCUUUGCAACGUAUUAAACACAUUAUGAAACGUGUUUCUAAGGAAAACAUCAAGCCCCAAGGCCGCCUUAUAGGGAAGUUGUCGCAUGCAGCACCUGCUUUUCUUUUUGACUAUAUGCUUUUGCAGAUUCAAUCGUAUGACAACCUCAUUGGACCAGUGGUGGAAUCUCUAAAGUAUCUGACGUCGUUGUCAUUAGACGUAUUAGGCUACUGCCUCGUUGAAGCGCUUGCGUCGCGACGUGGAACGGCCGGCGCAGCUCACCCACCAGCGCUGCAAGCGCUUGCCGCUUUCUCGGCCGCUGCUUUCAAAAAGCACAAUAUAGAACUUACAGCACUGCUGCAGUUUGUAGCAAAUAGACUUAAAGCGCAACAAAGUCACGAUUUGCUCAUUUUAAAAGAAAUAGUACAAAAAAUGGCAGGCAUAGAAGCUGCUGAGGAAAUGACGCCUGAACAACUAGAUGCUAUGGCCGGAGGAGAGCUACUAAAAGGAGAGGCGGGAUACUUCUCACAAGUUCGCAAUACAAGACGAUCAUCAGCAAGAUUGAAAGAAGCAAUAGUGGGAAAUAAUUUAGAUAUUGCACUUUGUAUAUUAUCUGCACAGCAACGCCAUUGCUGUGUGUGGAAAGAGUAUGCAGAAGACAGCCCCAGUUCCGGCGAGCCGCCAGGAUCGCAACUGAAGGUUGUGGGACGCCUUGCGGACCAAUGCCAGGACGCGCUAGUACAACUGGGGACCUUCCUAGCCUCCUCUCAUGCGCCGGAUGAAUACGCUGCAAGGCUGCCGGCUCUGCAGGAACUACUUCGAGACUAUCAUGUAGAUGCUGAUGUGGCGUUCUUUCUUCAUCGUCCAGUAUUGGCUCAGAAAAUUGCAGGGAAAGCAGAAUAUCUAAGAAAAGGCUCUGAUAGCAAAAGUGAAUCUGUAGAAAAGAGUAUUGAAAGAUAUAACAUUGCGUCCAAAGAAGCGUUAGAACCAAUCGUGACGUCAGUAACGCCUCUAUUACCUUCUAGAGUUUGGGAAGAUAUUUCCCCACAAUUCUAUGUAACGUUCUGGUCUUUAUCAAUGUACGACCUCAGAGUACCAGUGGAAAGUUACGAAAGAGAAGUAGAUCGCCUUAAAACUGCCGCGGCAAAUGCGGCCAAAGACACCUCGCAAGGAUCGAAAGGAAAAAAGGAGCAAGAACGUUUUAAUACUCUUGUUGAUAAGUUACAGGAAGAACGUCGUCGUCAAGAGGAGCACGUGUCAAGAGUGCGUGCGAGAUUACAGCGGGAAUGCGCUGGCUGGUUCCCCGCGCGCGCCGCCAAGUCUGCCAAAAAUGAGACAGUAACUCGCCUCAUGCAGCUUUGUCUGUUCCCGCGUUGCAUCUUCACCGCGCCCGAUGCCCUUUAUUGUGCAGAGUUUGUUCACACCGUGCACGCUCUCAAGACUCCUAACUUCUCCACGCUGCUAUGCUACGAUAGGCUUUUCUGCGACAUAGCAUACUCGGUUAUGUCGUGCUCGGAGGGCGAGGCGGCACGCUACGGGCAGUUCCUGUGCCGCGUUUUGCGCACGGCGAUGCGCUGGCACGCCGACCGCGGCGCUUUCCACGCUGAGUGCGCGCACUACCCCGGCUUCGUCACCAAGUACCGCGUGUCCAACCAGUUCACUGAGGCCAACGACCACGUCGGAUAUGAGAACUAUCGACACGUGUGCCAUAAGUGGCACUACAAGAUCACCAAGGCGAUGGUGGUUUGCCUCGACUCUGGCGACUACGUCCAAAUCCGCAACGCUCUCAUCGUGCUGAUCCGUGUGCUGCCUCACUUCCCUGUGCUGGCUAAACUAGCUCAGAUCAUUGAGCGGAAAGUUGAAAAGGUGAAAGAAGAAGAAAAAUCGCACCGACAAGAUCUGUAUGUCCUAGCGACAGGAUAUAGUGGUCAACUGCGGAAUAAAGUACCGCAUAUGAUGAAGGAGAGCGAUUUUCAUCAGAUCGUCAACUUGCAGGUUGGGACACCACCCAAGGCCACCACGGUGGCCAGCGCGGUGGGAACGGGUGCGGGAGGGGCGGCGGGGCCAAGUGCGGUGCCUCGGGACGAGCCCAAGCGCGAGAGAGAGUCCACGUCGCCGCCGCAACCAACGCAUCACUCGGAUACAGAAAAAAGAGAGUCAAGGACCAGUGAUAGACGUCGAGAAGAAUCUGAUCGUGAAAAAGAAUCUAAACGUGAAUCAAGAUCGUCAUUAAAAGAGAGAGUUAAAGAGGAGAUAAGAAGUAAAGAAAGAUCGCCAAGAGAAAGAUCACAUAGAGAGGAACGUUACUUGGAGACUGUUUCACCCCCUCAUGAACACAGGCAUCCGUCAGAUGACUUAGAUCGUGAUGUGAAACGUCGUAAAGUAGAAAGCAGCAGCAAUGGCAAGGUGAGUAUCAUUAUAAUUAGCCGGACUCGCCUCACGCUCGCGCCGGACUGAUGGAGGGCUGGACUCGGCACUCGGCGUGAGCCCUGCAUCGCUGCCGCUAAACAACUUAACACAAUCAAUAAUAAACGAAUCUAGUGCCUACAUAUUUGGACUAAGACUGUAAGACUUUCAAAACAGUGCUAAAAUAAAAAUUAAAUGUGUAAAAAAUAAUAAAAUGUAUAUCAAAAUAAAACGCAAUGCAACUAUGGACUUUUAAAUAAAAAUAAAACAACGAAAAUAAAGAAAAGAUCAAGAUCUCAAUAUUGCAGAAAGAAAAUAAAAAUCUUAGAAGAGGAACCAUAGCUCUUUCAUCGGAGUGAGAUAAAUGUUGCGUUAUGUAUUGUUUCGUCUUGCAUGUAUGUGUUAGCGUAAAUUUAAUGAAAUGAAAUUAUUAGUAAUGGAAGAUAUAAGAAAUAUGUCAGAGAAGAUGGAAAUAAAUGGAAUCAGACUGGAUAUAAUUUAAAAACACAAUAAGCUGGAAGAAUGAACAUAAUUACCUCAAGAAGAAAAAGUUACACUGUGAGACCUAAUGUAAUGUGUGAGGAUCCAUUUAACGAAAAAUAAAACAUACAAACACAAACUUUGCAGAUUGAAACUGCUGUACGCCUAAAACGACGAAACAAAUAAAACAAAUUUAGUAUAAAUAAUAAUAAAAACAAUGAAAUCAAAACCAAACAUAAAAAAAGGAAUUGAAAAUCGUGUAAGUUCAGUCAGCCCAGUCCUGUCGAGCAUCGGGUAGUAAAGAAAUUGAAGAGCGUUCCCCCGAGAAAGAAAAGAGAAAGGCUAAACUGAGGGGUGACGAAAGGAAAGAGCGUAAGAUGAACCGCAAGCGGGACCGAGCCGAAGAAUCUACGUUA